This 1130-nucleotide long non-coding RNA is filed under the name Homo sapiens (human). Its description in RNAcentral is "HSALNT0364700". The record is from RNAcentral. Lineage: Eukaryota; Metazoa; Chordata; Mammalia; Primates; Hominidae.
CCUUUGUCAUCUGAUUAGUCUUUAAAGAUGCAGCACUCUCUUUCCACCUCAUAAGGCCCUCAGUUCCUGAGAACUCAUCUUGAUCUCAUUCAGGAGAAAAGUAAAUCCCUCAAGAUCUUCCUUAUGAUGCUUACAGUCCAUGCUGCUCUUCCCAUGUGAAGAACUGACGUCAGUCAAAUUUGGCCCAAUCAAGAAAUCAAAGAAUAACAAAAGAAUUGCAAUGCAUUAAUAAAGACCUAGAUCCAUCCAGACUUUAAGAUCCUCUUCCAAAAGUCCAGUGGGAUACCUGAUUCAUCAUCCUGUCUUUCACCAGCCAAGGAAUGCAGAGCGUCCUGGUCAAGAGGCAAAGCUGGUCAGACAAGCUUCCGCCAGACCAAGAUGUCAGCAAUGACUCCAGCGUUCUAAAAAUCCAGAAGAUCACUACAAACAAAUGAAAAACUAAAAGUCUGGUAGAACAGAGGCCAUGACUGGGUGAGCCGCACUGUCUCGCUUCCAAAAAUUUACUCUUCAUGAAAAAUGAAAAUCAUCGUUUCUCAAAAGCAACGUAACUACGUGUAUUAGUCCGUUCUCACACUGCAAUAAAGAACUACCUGGGACCCAGUAAUUUAUGAAGAAGAGGGUUUUAAUUGACUCACAGUUCUGCAGGCUUAACAGGAAGCAUGACUUGGAGGCCUCGGGAAACUUACAAUCAUGGCAGAAGGUGAAGGGGAAACAAGCACUUCUUACCACGGCAGAGCAGGAGAGAGAGAGAGAGAGUGAGGGGGGAAUACACUUUUAAACCAUCAGAUCCCAUGAGAACUCCUUCACUAUCAAGAGAUCAGCAUGGGGAAAUCGGUCCCUAUCAUCCAAUCACCUCCCAUCAUGCCCCUCUUUCAAUAUGUGGGGAUUACAAUUCCACAUGAGAUGUGGAUUGGGGCCAGGAGCCAAACCAUAUCACUACAGAACCUUUGUCUUCUCUCCUACAAGUCUUUAGAGUAGUCCUGGCUUUGAGAGAAUGAGACAGACACAAAGUUGGCUUAAUAUGUUUUUAAAUGGGAUUCUUUUUUAAGAAGAUGAAAUCUCCCAAGUGCUAUAGUAAUGAAUCAUCAUCUAAUGUCUAUAUUUACUGGAAGAGUUACCAUGUCAGCCAA